This 2331-nucleotide non-coding RNA is filed under the name Anodonthyla rouxae (Madagascar climbing frog). Its description in RNAcentral is "partial contains 12S ribosomal RNA, tRNA-Val, and 16S ribosomal RNA". The stretch from base 1 to 911 matches the Rfam family "Bacterial small subunit ribosomal RNA". Lineage: Eukaryota; Metazoa; Chordata; Amphibia; Anura; Microhylidae. The record is from RNAcentral.
GUUUGGUCCUAGCCUUACUCUCAACUACUACUCGACUUACACAUGCAAGUAUCCGCACCCCCGUGAAAACGCCCUCCCCCCUCAAUGCAGGACGAGGAGCUGGUAUCAGGCACGAACCCUCCGCCCAUGACGCCUAGCCACGCCACGCCCCCAAGGGCACUCAGCAGUGAUAAACAUUGUUAAUUAGCGCCAGCUUGAUUCAGUCAAAGUAGGUUUAAGGGCCGGCCAAUUCGGUGCCAGCCGCCGCGGCUACCCCGCUCGGCUCAAGUUGACAUUAUCGGCGUUAAGCGUGAUUAAAGUGCCAAACCUAUUAGAAUUGAAGCUUAACUAAGUCGUUAAACGCUUGUUCUCAAGAAACCCACACACGAAAGUUAUUCUAAAACACUUGAACCCACGACAGUUGGGGCGCAAACUGGGAUUAGAUACCCCACUAUGCCCAACCGUAAAAUAUUAAUUUACACCCACAUCCGCCAGGGGACUACGAGCCCAGCCUUAAAACCCAAAGGACUUGACGGUGUCCCACCCACCUAGAGGAGCCUGUUCUAUAAUCGACACUCCCCGAUACACCUCACCCCUUCUAGCAUAUCAGUCUGUAUACCUCCGUCAUAAGCUUACCAUGUGAACGUUUGCAGUAAGCCAAAAGAUUAACCAUCAAUACGUCAGGUCAAGGUGCAGCUUACGAAGCGGGAAGUAAUGGGCUACAAUUUCUACCAUAGAACACACGAAAAACUGCAUGCAAUACAGUAUUGAAGGUGGAUUUAGCAGUAAAAAGAAAAUAGAGAGUUCUUUUGACUCUGGCGCUGGGACGUGUACACACCGCCCGUCACCCUCUUCAAGUACCGCAUGGAUCAAGAAGAGGCAAGUCGUAACAUGGUAAGCGUACUGGAAAGUGCGCUUGGACAACAAAAUGUAGCUUAUCUAAAGCAUCUUGCUUACACCAAGAUAGAUGUCCCUAAACAGACCAUUUUGAGCCCAAACCCCAGCCCUAACCACAGCACCACACGACUACUAUUGAAUAAAACAUUUUUACCAUCUAGUAAAGGCGAUUAAAAAAUGACUAGGAGCUACAAAGACAGUACCGCAAGGGAAACAUGAAAUAAUAAUGAAAAUCAAAGCACAACAUAGCAGAGUUUUAACCUCGUACCUUUUGCAUCAUGGUCUAACCAGUUUAACCAAGCAAGACGUACUCUAAGUUUGACCCCCCGAAACUAAGCGAGCUACUCUUAAACAGCCUCUUAGGGCCAACCCGUCUCCGUAGCAAAGGAGUGGGAAGAUUUAAGAGUAGAGGUGAUAUACCUACCGAGCUUAGAGAUAGCUGGUUAUUUAGGAAAAGGAUUUAAGUCCGCCUUUAAGUUUCUACAGUACCCCAAACACCUCUUAAACUUAAAAGACAUUCGAAUAAGGUACAGCCUAUUUGAACAGGGAAACAGCCUGCAGACCCGGGUAAUGACCCCCCACGAUGUGACUAGGUGGGCCUAAAAGCAGCCAGCCUCCAGAAAGCGUCCAAGCUUCAUCACUAUCCAUUAAUAAUCCCUCUAUUUAUUCAGAACCCUCCAGCGCUACUAAAUAACCCCAUACCCGCUAUGGGAGAUAUUAUGCUAGAACUAGUAACAAGAAGAAGCACUUCUCCUAAAUAUAAGCGUAAGCCAAAAUGAACCCUCACUGGCACUUACCGCCGCUAAGCCCACAGUAGCAACCGCCACAAGAAAGCCCUACCUCACCCCGGCGUUAACCUUACACCAGCAUAUUACAGGAAAGAUUAAAAAAGGGGGAAGGAACUCGGCAAAUAUUAGCUCCGCCUGUUUACCAAAAACACCGCCUCUUGACAAAACAUAAGAGGUCCUGCCUGCCCAGUGACUAAGUUUAACGGCCGCGGUAUCCUAACCGUGCAAAGGUAGCAUAAUCACUUGUUCUUUAAAUCAGGACUAGUAUGAACGGCCACACGAGAGCUAUACUGUCUCCCCCCUUUAAUCAGUGAAACUGAUCUCCUCGUGAAGAAGCGAGGAUAGCCCAAUAAGACGAGAAGACCCCAUGGAGCUUUAAACUCGCACCACUGCCUCGCACACACCAAAAUACCCCAGGCAAUUGGCAGCUAGUCUUUAGGCUGGGGCGACCACGGAGAAAAACAUAACCUCCGCGAUGAUAAGGAAUCCUCCUAAUCAAAGAGCUACUGCUCUAAGAAUCAAUAAAUUGACAUUAGUUGACCCAAUUUUUUUGAUCAACGAACCAAGUUACCCUGGGGAUAACAGCGCAAUCCAUUUCAAGAGACCCUAUCAACAAAUGGGCUUACGACCUCGAUGUUGGAUCAGGGUACCCCAGUGGUGCAGCCGC